This is a non-coding RNA of Gasterosteus aculeatus aculeatus (three-spined stickleback), 2118 nucleotides long. The record is from RefSeq and is a predicted model, not a curated record. Lineage: Eukaryota; Metazoa; Chordata; Actinopteri; Perciformes; Gasterosteidae.
UGGGCAUGUGACGGCCGCCAUUUUGAAGUCAUGCCCGGAAAUGCGUCAUUUUACGAAUGGAAACGUAAACCAUUUUUGACGAUGAUGUGCGUGGUUUUGAUUGGAAAUUUGCCAUUUCAGUGGGUGUUUUAUGCGAUGGGCGUUAGUUUUGACCGGAAACACGGCCCUGUAGGAGGGGUUUCAUCAUAUAUAUAUAGAGGUGUUAUUUGGCGCCUCGAUCGAACUUUCCUUUUGGACUGGUUCACGCUCCAGGAUUCUUAGUGAAACAGCAGAGGCCUAUCCCAGUGUGGUCCCAGUGAUGUCUUCUUCUUCUUCUAUUCAAAGGUAUGAGAGGCCCCGCCACAAACCAGUGAGACAUUGGUGCUUCUGUUCAGAUUCACCAAUAACAGCUUAAUGCAUGAACUGGGGGGCUAUCUUCUUCUUAGUCAACAGAACACAUUUUGUAACCUAACAGAGGAAAAACCCUCAGGAAAACAUACAGUUUUAACGAGGAACACAUAUGUCGACUAAGUGCAGCAUCAUGUGACACAGCACACCAGCCGGGGCCAACCCCCAAACGUCUUCUUCUGCUUCUCUUCAAUGGUAUGAGAGGCCCCUCCACAAAACAGUGAGACACUGGCGCUUCUGUUCAGAUUCACCAAUAACAGCUUAAUGCAUGAACUAGGGGGCUAUCUUCUUCUUAGCCAACAGGACACACAUUGUAACCUAACAGAGGAAAAACCCUCAGGAAAACAUACAGUUUUAACGAGGAACAAGCGUGUCGACUUAGGGUUGCAUAAUGUGACUCAGCACCCAAAUGGUAUAAAUUUAAAAAAAUAAAAAUAAAAUAAAAAGCUUUAAAGAUUGUACUAUGGCGAGUGAUUCAUAUUUGUUUUUAUAUAUAUUUGUAUAUAUUUUUUAAUAGGUAUUUACACCUUUUAGAAAUAGAUGACAGCUCGCAUCCUAUACACGGGAGUCUUGAAAAACUGAAAAAAGGAGAUUGCUGCACUCAAUUGUCUACCAACAACGACUACGUGCCCCAACCAGAGAGCGGGCAAAGAGUCGACAUCUUGGGAAAAGUCGGCUGACCGUCGCUGUCAAACAGGGGUUGCAGUAGGGAGCAGCUUGACCUGUCAACACCAACAAAGGACACAUGGUACUAUCCAGAAUGUUUGACUGACGAGGAAAUGCUGCAGGCGGUCUGUGACUAUGAAGAAGAGAGUACUACAAUAGGAGCAACAUCGGCAGAGUGUGUAACCCCAUUUCAACAAAACAGAGCAGGUAUACCCACAGAACCCACGGUGGUGAUUGUGCACCCGAGGGACACCGCUAACACCUUAUAUGUAGAGUUGAUAAAUGAAAUCAGUGAACUGCGUCGUUUCAACACUGCAUUAAAAGAGAUAGUAACCGAUCUAUGUAAGAAACAAGAGGAGGCUAGACAAACACAGGACGCCAACGGCUGUUCCAUAAAACAAUACCUGAUAGCUCAGAAUGCAUCCAGUGAAGCUAUCAUAGCUCUACUUACAAAUACAUUUUAUCCAAGGUAAUCUACUAGGCAUGGUGUCUAUAAGGGGUGGUGUCUAAAUAAACAAUACAGACGUGUAGUAUGCCUCCCCCCAGAAAAGUUUUGAAGAGGGGCACGGGUGAUAUACAACGAUCAGGGGAUAACCAUAAUAAUAAUAAUAAUAAUGAUGAUGGGUAUAGGGUCCUGUUACAGAAUACAGAACAGCUUAAAAGCCUACAAGCACUGGUGGAGAGAUCGCGCGUUGAUGCUGCUGCUGCUGCUGCAUACCCUGCAGAAGCUUUUCAUGAUGUUGACAGAAUUCAUUAUACAGAACAACAUUCAUCGUAUCUAGAUAGCGGGUAUGCAGACUCUGUCAGUGUCCUAGACCCUGGGUUUAAUACCACAGGCGCAAAUAGCCACGUGUUGGAUCAUGCAGACGGCCCACUUGUGUACACAGACAAUGAUGCAGGGGCUGGGGGGUGUGUGUUGGCAGAAAUAUGUGACGACCGGCUGAAUCAGAGGGGGGCAAAUGGAGAUGUGGAGCAUGAACAGGGUGUUGGGGGGCCUGCUGAGGGUCAAGAGGGAGGGUCAUGGGAGCAGGCCCGAACAGAAGGGGGGCAUGAUGAUACACUAAC